UAACUUACUUCUCUGAAGAUAAGAAACCUUCUGAAGGGGUUCAAGAAAACCCGAAAAUCAAAUGAUGAGAAGGUGACUCUGAGGAUUGGGACGGGUGCAAUUGUUGCAGCGACCGCCAUCGGGACCUUUUAUUUGAGUCUACUUAAGAAUAAGACCUUAGUUCUAAAAGAUUGUCUUUAUGUUUCAGAAGUUCGUAUAAAUUUGAUUUCUGUUUCAAAACUGGCUUUGUGUAGUCAUUCAUUGACUUUUAAUUCAAAGAUUGUUAUUAAAUUUCAAAAUCA
Molecule: long non-coding RNA, 281 nt
Organism: Phoenix dactylifera (date palm)
Lineage: Eukaryota; Viridiplantae; Streptophyta; Magnoliopsida; Arecales; Arecaceae
Source: RefSeq, a predicted model, not a curated record